RNAcentral lists this non-coding RNA (26 nucleotides) under Mus musculus (house mouse). Lineage: Eukaryota; Metazoa; Chordata; Mammalia; Rodentia; Muridae. The record is from RNAcentral.
UAAGAGUAGAAAUGCCUGUGCUGAGA